RNAcentral lists this ribosomal RNA (392 nucleotides) under uncultured bacterium. RNAcentral describes it as "bacterial SSU rRNA". It matches the Rfam family "Bacterial small subunit ribosomal RNA", at positions 28 to 419 of the family's 1533-position model. The record is from RNAcentral.
GACGAACGCUGGCGGCGUGCUUAACACAUGCAAGUCGAGCGGUAAGGCCCUUUCGGGGGUACACGAGCGGCGAACGGGUGAGUAACACGUGGGUGACCUGCCCUCAGCUCUGGGAUAAGCCUGGGAAACCGGGUCUAAUACUGGAUAUGACUCCAUGACGCAUGUUGUGGGGUGGAAAGCCUUGUGCGGCUGAGGAUGGGCCCGCGGCCUAUCAGCUUGUUGGUGGGGUGANGGCCUACCAAAGGCGACGACGGGUAGCCGGCCUGAGAGGGCGACCGGCCACACUGGGACUGAGACACGGCCCAGACUCCUACGGGAGGCAGCAGUGGGGAAUCUUGCGCAAAUGGGCGAAAGCCUGACGCAGCGACGCCGCGUGAGGGAUGACGGCCUGU